CACUCUCUCUCUCCUGCUGCAUUGUGAAGAAACUGCUUGCUUCCCUCUCACCCUCUGCAGUUUCCUGAGGCCUCCCCAGCCAUGCGGAACUCCUGCUUCCAUAUUGUAAACUGCCUUGGAACCAAUUACCACUACCAGGGAGACAAACUAUUGCUUAGAGGAUGCUGACAGGAGCAGCAUGUCAAAAUUGAAAGAAUGUUGUCUCUCAGCUGGUGCCAUUCCACCAUUCUAUCUGGCCCACUGCUUCUUACAAGAUUAAGAUAGCAGAUCCCAUGGGUGUGGGGAGGAAGUUUAAGCUCUCCUCACUAUGAGUUUUCAAGUAUAAAAGACUUUUUCUUCCACGAUGUUGAGAACAACUGUGGACUGUUGUGACCAGGACAACAGGGAAGCUUGCAGCAAGAUAGCUCCAGGUUGGAUUCAUGCUUCGCACCCCAAGGGCUGCCAGCCAGAGAGGAGGAGAAGCAAUCACUCCUGCAGUUUCUGAACACUACACAGACGCCAGGUAGCUUCUUCAGGACAACAGCCCUCUGAGGAGGCAGGAAGAGGAGGCUUCUCUUUCAGCA
RNAcentral lists this long non-coding RNA (563 nucleotides) under Pongo abelii (Sumatran orangutan). RNAcentral describes it as "lincRNA". Lineage: Eukaryota; Metazoa; Chordata; Mammalia; Primates; Hominidae. The record is from RNAcentral.